GCCCGGAUGGCGGAAUCGGUAGACGCUCAGGACUUAAAAUCCUGUGAUGGCAACAUCGUGGGGGUUCAAGUCCCCCUCUGGGUA
Molecule: transfer RNA, 84 nt
Filed under: Ignavibacteriae bacterium HGW-Ignavibacteriae-4
Lineage: Bacteria; Pseudomonadati; Ignavibacteriota
Also listed under: 1 other name
Description: tRNA-Leu
Rfam family: tRNA
About the family: Transfer RNA (tRNA) molecules are approximately 80 nucleotides in length. Their secondary structure includes four short double-helical elements and three loops (D, anti-codon, and T loops). Further hydrogen bonds mediate the characteristic L-shaped molecular structure. tRNAs have two regions of fundamental functional importance: the anti-codon, which is responsible for specific mRNA codon recognition, and the 3' end, to which the tRNAs corresponding amino acid is attached (by aminoacyl-tRNA synthetases). tRNAs cope with the degeneracy of the genetic code in two manners: having more than one tRNA (with a specific anti-codon) for a particular amino acid; and 'wobble' base-pairing, i.e. permitting non-standard base-pairing at the 3rd anti-codon position.
Source: RNAcentral